UACGUAGGGUGCAAGCGUUAAUCGGAAUUACUGGGCGUAAAGCGUGCGCAGGCGGUUUUGUAAGUCUGUCGUGAAAUCCCCGGGCUCAACCUGGGAAUUGCGAUGGAGACUGCAAGGCUAGAGUUUGGCAGAGGGGGGUAGAAUUCCACGUGUAGCAGUGAAAUGCGUAGAUAUGUGGAGGAACACCGAUGGCGAAGGCAGCCUCCUGGGCCAACACUGACGCUCAUGCACGAAAGCGUGGGGAGCAAACAGG
This 253-nucleotide ribosomal RNA is filed under the name uncultured bacterium. Its description in RNAcentral is "partial 16S ribosomal RNA". It matches the Rfam family "Bacterial small subunit ribosomal RNA", at positions 524 to 776 of the family's 1533-position model. The record is from RNAcentral.